GAUUGAACGCUGGCGGCAGGCCUAACCCAUGCAAGUCGAGCGGAUGAAGGGAGCUUGCUCCUGGAUUCAGCGGCGGACGGGUGAGUAAUGCCUAGGAAUCUGCCUGGUAGUGGGGGAUAACGUCCGGAAACGGGCGCUAAUACCGCAUGCGUCCUGAGGGAGAAAGUGGGGGAUCUUCGGACCUCACGCUAUCAGAUGAGCCUAGGUCGGAUUAGCUAGUUGGUGGGGUAAAGGCCUACCAAGGCGACGAUCCGUAACUGGUCUGAGAGGAUGAUCAGUCACACUGGAACUGAGACACGGUCCAGACUCCUACGGGAGGCAGCAGUGGGGAAUAUUGGACAAUGGGCGAAAGCCUGAUCCAGCCAUGCCGCGUGUGUGAAGAAGGUCUUCGGAUUGUAAAGCACUUUAAGUUGGGAGGAAGGGCAGUAAGUUAAUACCUUGCUGUUUUGACGUUACCAACAGAAUAAGCACCGGCUAACUUCGUG
This 485-nucleotide ribosomal RNA is filed under the name uncultured bacterium. RNAcentral describes it as "partial 16S ribosomal RNA". It matches the Rfam family "Bacterial small subunit ribosomal RNA", at positions 27 to 507 of the family's 1533-position model. The record is from RNAcentral.